RNAcentral lists this ribosomal RNA (746 nucleotides) under Escherichia coli. RNAcentral describes it as "partial 23S ribosomal RNA". It matches the Rfam family "Bacterial large subunit ribosomal RNA", at positions 613 to 1359 of the family's 2925-position model. Lineage: Bacteria; Pseudomonadati; Pseudomonadota; Gammaproteobacteria; Enterobacterales; Enterobacteriaceae. The record is from RNAcentral.
UAAUGGGUCAGCGACUUAUAUUCUGUAGCAAGGUUAACCGAAUAGGGGAGCCGAAGGGAAACCGAGUCUUAACUGGGCGUUAAGUUGCAGGGUAUAGACCCGAAACCCGGUGAUCUAGCCAUGGGCAGGUUGAAGGUUGGGUAACACUAACUGGAGGACCGAACCGACUAAUGUUGAAAAAUUAGCGGAUGACUUGUGGCUGGGGGUGAAAGGCCAAUCAAACCGGGAGAUAGCUGGUUCUCCCCGAAAGCUAUUUAGGUAGCGCCUCGUGAAUUCAUCUCCGGGGGUAGAGCACUGUUUCGGCAAGGGGGUCAUCCCGACUUACCAACCCGAUGCAAACUGCGAAUACCGGAGAAUGUUAUCACGGGAGACACACGGCGGGUGCUAACGUCCGUCGUGAAGAGGGAAACAACCCAGACCGCCAGCUAAGGUCCCAAAGUCAUGGUUAAGUGGGAAACGAUGUGGGAAGGCCCAGACAGCCAGGAUGUUGGCUUAGAAGCAGCCAUCAUUUAAAGAAAGCGUAAUAGCUCACUGGUCGAGUCGGCCUGCGCGGAAGAUGUAACGGGGCUAAACCAUGCACCGAAGCUGCGGCAGCGACACUAUGUGUUGUUGGGUAGGGGAGCGUUCUGUAAGCCUGUGAAGGUGGCCUGUGAGGGUUGCUGGAGGUAUCAGAAGUGCGAAUGCUGACAUAAGUAACGAUAAAGCGGGUGAAAAGCCCGCUCGCCGGAAGACCAAGGGUUCCUGUC